UGUUUUAAGACCUAGGCAAGUAGUGACAGUAACAGCAGCUGCAUAAAUAAGUGUGUGUAUUUCUGUGAGUGUUGUUUCGCAUUAAUAAAUUUUGGUAGAAUGUGUGUGUUCGUACAAUGUAGUGUAACGUUCGACUGUUGUGGAUUGUGAAGUUUAGGAAUGCGUGGAGGUUGCGUGGGAUCUGUACCCGCGAAUUUGAUUAAUGUUUCCUGGAGAGUGUGAGUGAGUUUAUUAGGUCUGUGUCAGUGUUGUUAAUGGGCGGUGUGUUGUCGUCGAUGAAUGUUAUUUCUGAUGUCCGUUCCACUCGGUGUUGUAUUUGUGUGUGUGAAUCGAUCUCGUGUUGCGAUAUUUGUCGCGAUACCCGAGUUUUAAUGCUUCCUAACGUACUGUGUGGUAUGAGGUUUCUGUGGAUGAUGGUUAUUCUUCGAUCCGCUACGCGUUAUUCUGUAACUAUGAUGGUUG
RNAcentral lists this long non-coding RNA (462 nucleotides) under Androctonus crassicauda. Lineage: Eukaryota; Metazoa; Arthropoda; Arachnida; Scorpiones; Buthidae. The record is from RNAcentral.